Molecule: long non-coding RNA, 625 nt
Organism: Anguilla rostrata (American eel)
Lineage: Eukaryota; Metazoa; Chordata; Actinopteri; Anguilliformes; Anguillidae
Exons: 2
Source: RefSeq, a predicted model, not a curated record
CCACAGGCAGGAAGAGGAAGUGCUUGCGCAGCGGGUGACAAGAAGAGGCCGCCUGGAAAGUGCUAUCCUCUCGGGCAAAAACACGUCAACGCAAACAAGCGCAAACCGUAGGAAAAUGACGCGCUUCUGUGACGCGCGCGAUUAAAAUAAACACGCUGUUGCGACACACUGGAAGACCCGCGCUGGUAUUCGAACGUAGCACGCGCACGCAUUUGUUGGUCACGGACAUUUAGUAACGACCCGAUUUAUUAUUAUUAUAAAACAAUGAAUCAUGAAUAUUUUCCCUAAAUAUUCCAAACUGUAAACUGAAAUGGAGCUUUCCAAAAAAAAAAAAAACGAGCGAUUUAAGUGAAUUACUUGGCUGAAUCUACCCAGAAUGCACUGCGCUCUGUUCCUGCAGGAGAAGGAGCUUCUUCAGCCAGCAGACACAGUGUCUCCACGGGUCUGGCAGACACAACGAUCACUCUGAGGCGUACCCUUCACCGGAGCUGCGUCCUCAUUAUGGCAGCAGGUACAACUGCAGUGUUACCCUACAGCAGUGCAACCAAACGACCCAGAAGUGACAGCUUCUAUCAAGCGCAAGAAAGGAAAUUACAAAAGUACAUCUCAAAAUAGAGAAAGAACG